AGAGUUUGAUCCUGGCUCAGAGCGAACGCUAGCGGCGGGCCUAACACAUGCAAGUCGAGCGCGUAGCUUCGGCUACGAGCGGCGGACGGGUGAGUAACACGUAGGUGAUCUGCCCUUUGGUGGGGGAUAACCAGGGGAAACCUUGGCUAAUACCGCAUAUGGCCUUCGGGUCAAAGCCUUCGGGCGCCAGAGGAUGAGCCUGCGUCGCAUUACCUAGUUGGUAGGGUAAUGGCCUACCAAGGGGACGAUGCGUAGCUGGUCUGAGAGGAUGAUCAGCCACACUGGGACUGAGACACGGCCCAGACUCCUACGGGAGGCAGCAGUGGGGAAUAUUGGGCAAUGGGCGGAAGCCUGACCCAGCCACGCCGCGUGAGUGAUGAAGGCCUUCGGGUUGUAAAGCUCUGUGGGAAGG
RNAcentral lists this ribosomal RNA (412 nucleotides) under uncultured bacterium. Its description in RNAcentral is "bacterial SSU rRNA". It matches the Rfam family "Bacterial small subunit ribosomal RNA", at positions 8 to 443 of the family's 1533-position model. The record is from RNAcentral.